This is a long non-coding RNA of Strongylocentrotus purpuratus (purple sea urchin), 884 nucleotides long. RefSeq lists it as uncharacterized. Lineage: Eukaryota; Metazoa; Echinodermata; Echinoidea; Camarodonta; Strongylocentrotidae. The record is from RefSeq and is a predicted model, not a curated record. The transcript has 4 exons.
AUUUCAUAAGUAAAGCAACAAGCUUAAUUUACACACAUUUCAAUCCCUUCAAUCAGUUACUAACAUGUUUUUUGCAAUUGUUUAAAGUAAGCAUAAUGAUUUAUUUUUUAAAUAAACAGUUAUUAAUAUACCAUAUUUGAUUUGGGAUUUGAGAAAAUAAUGUUGGUUUAUUCAUUGCGAACAUUAGAAAAUAUAGCAAAGAAAAAACAAUUAUAAACAUCGUUAAUUAUUUUCCAUUUCUAUGUUCUAUAGAUAUGCUGAAUGAUACAGAAGACCUGGUUUUGGUCCAUUGGACGAAAACCGGAAAAAAGAAUGUGGUGGCUGUUCAAGAUUUAGAGGAGAUAGACGGAGUCUGGGUUGGGUCAAGAUGUACAAUGAAGUGGGGACGGCAAAGCUGGAAGGGUACCAUUCUGGCUGUUGAUGACUGGAGAGAGGCUGAGCCAGAGAAAGAGAAUGACUACAGCGAUAGUGAUGAUGACAAAUGCCUUUAGCUGUCCUUGCUAAAAGAUCUGUGGCGCGAUUUUCUACUAAAUUGUGGUCAUCCAUCGUGUUUCGUUGAAGUAUGGGCAGCAUGUGUUCGUUACCAUACAGCUUUGUGUCAUGGGCAUUGGAUGGGAAUGACCCAUGUGGCUCACAUUCAUACUUUAGUGAAACGGUACCUAUCCCAGAGCAACACAAUGACGAGAAGAUCAUCUAUCAUUGUAUGCAGACCAUCAAGGACUGGGACUGCAUGUGACAGUCAACGAAGACAUCGAGGGAAGUAUGCAGAGCAUUGACAACGACUGUGCAGCGCAGACGGUCAACAAAGACACCGAUGAAAGUAUGCAGACCACUGAUGACGUCAGUUUAAUCCUAUGUUAACUGGGGGGGGGGGUCAAUUUGAC